RNAcentral lists this transfer RNA (72 nucleotides) under Mus musculus (house mouse). It matches the Rfam family "tRNA". From Rfam's summary of the family: Transfer RNA (tRNA) molecules are approximately 80 nucleotides in length. Their secondary structure includes four short double-helical elements and three loops (D, anti-codon, and T loops). Further hydrogen bonds mediate the characteristic L-shaped molecular structure. tRNAs have two regions of fundamental functional importance: the anti-codon, which is responsible for specific mRNA codon recognition, and the 3' end, to which the tRNAs corresponding amino acid is attached (by aminoacyl-tRNA synthetases). tRNAs cope with the degeneracy of the genetic code in two manners: having more than one tRNA (with a specific anti-codon) for a particular amino acid; and 'wobble' base-pairing, i.e. permitting non-standard base-pairing at the 3rd anti-codon position. The record is from Rfam by way of RNAcentral. Lineage: Eukaryota; Metazoa; Chordata; Mammalia; Rodentia; Muridae.
UGUGAUAUAACUCAAUGGUAGGGUAUCUACCUGGCAUGUACAAGGCCCAGAGUUUAAUACCCUGAAUUAUAA